UUUUCUCUCUCAUUCUCCCCUCUCAUUUUCGUCCCUCCCCUUCCCCUCUCUACUCUCUCUCUUCUCUCUUCAACGCACAUGGAAGAACACUCCUAAGCUUCUAAACACCUAGAUCCACCAUUACAAAUCCUAGAUCUAGCCUUCUAUCACCAAGAAUCAAAGGAGUGAUCAAGCUAAAGCUUCUAAAUCAAGUGGAUCUAAAAGUUCACCAUUUUCUUGUCCAAGACCUUGAUAGUAAGUGGAGCUAACUUUGAGAUCUCUUUGAUCUACCUCCAUUUCUUGAUGUUUUGAUGGAAGAAAACAAGAGGAUCAAACCACUCUCUCAUUUAUCUAAUUUUCGAAAAUUGGGGUAUUUUACCCUUCAAAUACUUUUCACUUUCUUUUCUUAAAUUGAGGUGAUAUUUAUGUAAUUGAGAACCUAUUGAGUUGAUAUCCAUGAGUUUUUGAAAAGAAGGGAUCUUGAAUUUUCAAUGGGUUUAGUUUGCUAAAUUUUGGGAUGUUUUGAUUGGUGAUGAGAUUUGAUGAAUUGAUGCUUGAUUAUUGUUAUUGAGAGUGAUAAUAUGAUGAAUCAUGGAUUAGAUUGAUGGAAUGAAUUGAUUUUUGAAAAUUCUCAUGAGUUAGUUUGAUGUAAAUUGGGUAUAAGUGAUUAUUUGGUUUAAUUUGCUAAUUGAUGUCUUAUAUAUGCUAUUAAGUUAAUCAAUUUGAUAGAUCUAAGGUUUGAUCGAUGACUUAAGCAUGUUUAAAAUUUUUCAAAAAGUUUAGUUUACUAAAAAUUAGGACUUUUUGAUUUAUGUGUUAAAUGUCUAAAUUGAUUGAGUUUAAUUGAUUAUAAGCAUGACAAAAACAUUAAUUAAAGAUAAAUUUGACUAACUGUUGAGUAUGUCUAAAAUGGUCGAGUUUAGUUUACUAAGAAUUGGGGUAUUCUUGAUUAAUGAGAUAAAUGUUGGGAUUAAUUACUUUUAUGGGCUAAUUAGUAUACUAGAAUGAUGAAUUCAUGUUCGAAUUGAUGAAUUAUGAUGAGAUGUGAAAGUUUGCCGAGUUUAGUUUGCACGUUUGAAAGAGAUCUUGUAAAUGAGUUGAGUUAUUAGUUAAGUAUGUUUAUACGUUGCUGAUGAUUAAUUGAGCCUAUAUAUGCAAUACGAGAUGAAGCGAAUCAUCCCCUAAGAAACUAUGUCUUGACCGAAAAUGAGAAGAAAAAGGGGAAGGAGUUUUUGAUUUUUCUUGAGUCAUAUGAUCACGUAUUUAUGCUAUUGUGUAUUAUGUGAGCUUAAUGUGAAUUAUUUAGAAUUUUUCGAUGAAGAAAUCCAGAGUUUAGUUUGUUAAAAACGACAUUAAUUGGAACUACAUUCUUGUAUGAUUUAUUUUUGAGAAUUUGAUCUAAGAUUGUUCUCAUAUAUGUUCUUGGCUUUCGAAAUUGAAUUUUUGGGAAUUUUUUUCCCAACUAAAAAUAUUUUUCCGUUUUUAUAAAAAGCUUUCAAAAGUUUUUGUUAAGAUGUUAUUGAACUUGUUUAGUUAUUCUAUGUGCUUAUCUCUAUGUGUAUGAUGCAAUUGUGUUGGAUUAUCUAUGGUGUUAGACCUUACGUGAAUUAUGUGUUAUGUGUAUACUACAUGAUUGAGUAUAGAUCUUAACUAAAACAUGUGAGAUAAGAAUAGAACUAGUGAUUACUUAGGAAGUCCAAUUCCUAGGCAAUCGAGAUGGUUAUGCGAAGUAAUGAGACUUGAUAGAGUAGUGCUAUCAGUAAGAAGGUUACUGAUCGAUUGAUGUUUUAUUCUAUGAACUACCUACAUUGUGUACCUGAAGGCACAAGCGACGAAAGGAAGUGAGGUGAAGCAAGAGCUUAAUAAAGAAAGAGUAAGCAGGAGUCCAGGUGGGCUUUCGAACUGAAAUGAAAUGAUGCUUAUGAGUUUGAUGAAUGAUUUGAAUUGAAGUUAUGUUUAAACUAAUUGACUUGCCAAUUUUUAUGAUAAUGAGCUUGUAUUUACCCUCUACUAAUGAGAUGAGACGAAUUCGGUCCUGUCACAAGCGGGAUUUUGUGCAUAGAGGUGACUGUGAGCCGUCUACCGGGUCGGCCGGUCACGGUACUUGAGAGGGAGGCCUACUUCUCAGUACCUUUGAGGAUGAGCAGUGGAUGUGGUUCAUACAUGAUGAAUGUUUUAACUGCGCAGUUACCUCUUUAUGAUGUUUAUGAUUUGUGAAAUUGCUUACACAGGUUCAUUUAUACUAAAAUCCAUGUGUAUUGCAUGAAAUGUGGCAAGUUCAAUUUAUAGCUGUAAGAGCAAGCUUUCAAUUAUUUUCGGCAUAUGUUCACUGAGUACCUUAUACUCAGCCCUGCAUAUAUUUCUAAAUGUGCAGGUAUGGCUUUGAUGGAGAUGGCAGGGUGCUGAGCUGGCUUGUUGUGAAGAAGGGAGAAUUGUACUCUAGGUUACAUGUCUUCAUACAUGUAAUCAUUACAAAUUCCGCUGCGAUGCUUUGAUAAACCUUAUUUAUUUCAACAUUGUUCUAAACUUGAGAUAUUAUUUGAGACUUGUAUUUUCCCAUGUGACUUUAGACAACUUAUUGAAUUUAAUUGAGAGUUGUAUAACUAAUAAACUUGAUAUUAAU
RNAcentral lists this long non-coding RNA (2602 nucleotides) under Salvia miltiorrhiza (redroot sage). Its description in RNAcentral is "long non-coding RNA (SMIL_LNC006052)". Lineage: Eukaryota; Viridiplantae; Streptophyta; Magnoliopsida; Lamiales; Lamiaceae. The record is from RNAcentral.